CACCCAUCUCACUAGUUCCAGCCUCCCACCCAAACCAUUGGUCAUCAGCCAUCUUCACCACUCAGGAACCGUCCAUCUCUUUAAAGACUCUCCUAUCUCGCCUGACCACCGGCCUCAAUGACCGCCUCUGUAGAUCUGUGUCACGGUGCUUGUCCGCUGGCGUGACUACGACGACUCUUAAUUAGAGAGAUAAUCAGAUUAUACAGUCGCCGUAAGCGGAGGAGCUGAGAAAAAUUUUACAGUAAUUUUUGUUUAUAGAUUUAGCUUCAAAUUUGAUGGAUUUAAUUUGGUAGCUCUUUCUUGUUUCAAUUACUUUUUGGCAUCAUUGAUUCGAUUGAAUUGAGAAACAACUUACUACAGAUUUGAAGCUCAUUUACAUAUGUGUUUAUGGUGGGUCUUUGAGCUUUGGUGAUGAUUGUUUUUUUGGGUGAACGGUAAGGAGGAGUGGGGAAGGUGGGUGGUGGUGGUGGUGGUGAGGAGGAUCGGGUGGGUGGGUGGGUGGGGGUGGGGUGGGUGAACGGUAGGGACUAUCCGGGAACGAAAUUGCAAAAGUUGAGGACUAUAGCUGUAAUUUUAGAAAGUUAGGGACUAAAGAUGAAACUGGAGCAAACCACAGGGACUAUCCGGGGUGAAAAAACUGCCAAGCAGCAGAUGGAGGCAUUUUAUCGCUAGCCCGAUGGGGGUUGAAUCGGAACAUCAGAGUCAACGAUUAGUGUUUGGGGUACUCUAUUGGUGUCAUUGAUGGGGGGAAAGGAUCAGAUUGACGAUGCACAAAUGUUUGAAAAGGAUGAUGGAGCCGCAGGUAGGGGAGAAAGGGGAGAGAGGCGCAACGGUCAUUCGAGCACCGUGGCUGCAGUCAGAGAUAUAGCAGCAGCAGAUUCACCAUCACCGCCUACUUCUUGCACGGGUAGUCGAUUGCUCUUGCCAUAUACAGUGUAUGUUUCUAGGAUUUUUUUUAGAUUGAGUGUACACAGUUUGUCAGUCUCUGCAUGUGUAGUUUCUUCCUUUUUUUUCACAAAUUUGUGAACAUUGUUGUGAUUGAGUUUUGUUGUUUUGGUGUAAUAAAAAGUUUAAAAUUUUCAUCUUAGGU
This 1090-nucleotide long non-coding RNA is filed under the name Helianthus annuus (common sunflower). RNAcentral describes it as "hypothetical non coding rna". Lineage: Eukaryota; Viridiplantae; Streptophyta; Magnoliopsida; Asterales; Asteraceae. The record is from RNAcentral.